This 574-nucleotide ribosomal RNA is filed under the name uncultured Cutibacterium sp. RNAcentral's name for it is "bacterial SSU rRNA". It matches the Rfam family "Bacterial small subunit ribosomal RNA", at positions 334 to 918 of the family's 1533-position model. The record is from RNAcentral. Lineage: Bacteria; Bacillati; Actinomycetota; Actinomycetes; Propionibacteriales; Propionibacteriaceae.
AGAUCCUACGGGAGGCAGCAGUGGGGAAUAUUGCACAAUGGGCGGAAGCCUGAUGCAGCAACGCCGCGUGCGGGAUGAAGGCCUUCGGGUUGUAAACCGCUUUCGCCUGUGACGAAGCGUGAGUGACGGUAAUGGGUAAAGAAGCACCGGCUAACUACGUGCCAGCAGCCGCGGUGAUACGUAGGGUGCGAGCGUUGUCCGGAUUUAUUGGGCGUAAAGGGCUCGUAUGUGGUUGAUCGCGUCGGAAGUGUAAUCUUGGGGCUUAACCCUGAGCGUGCUUUCGAUACGGGUUGACUUGAGGAAGGUAGGGGAGAAUGGAAUUCCUGGUGGAGCGGUGGAAUGCGCAGAUAUCAGGAGGAACACCAGUGGCGAAGGCGGUUCUCUGGGCCUUUCCUGACGCUGAGGAGCGAAAGCGUGGGGAGCGAACAGGCUUAGAUACCCUGGUAGUCCACGCUGUAAACGGUGGGUACUAGGUGUGGGGUCCAUUCCACGGGUUCCGUGCCGUAGCUAACGCUUUAAGUACCCCGCCUGGGGAGUACGGCCGCAAGGCUAAAACUCAAAUGAAUUGACGGGG